AAGGUGCUGUGGCACGUCGAUGACAGAGACAUUCCUUCAACAUGCAUGAUUAUUUAUGGCAGCUAAUACACAGAGUGCAUAAAUAUGUUCACUGGAGUGUCUGCUUACGUUCUCGUAGUUGUUCACUCAUGUUGAAGGAACAGUCUGACAGCACGGCUUCAGUGAGUCAAUCGGCAGAUAUACGAGCGACAUCUGAGCUGAAUGUAAAAAGUGGUGAUUAGUUACAAAGCUUUUGGCAUUUUCACACUGUUCAUGGAGUAUACAACAUUCCUGUGGUCCUCAUUUGGUUUAUUGUUUCAGUGGUUGAUUAGAAAGGAGAAAAAAAAAGAAAAAAAAAAUUGUGUUUACAGCACACAGUGUUUUUGAGCUGUGCGAUGACAUCUCUAACAGGCUGCACCUUCCUCCAGAACGUAUAUGUACUGAUCGGUAGCUGCACUAUCAUUUCCAUUGCAUCCAAGGAGGCGUAUUCAUCUUAAACAUCAUUUUUCAUAUAAAUUUUACCUGUACAAUGAAGAGGAAGUUUGCAGGAGGACAGUACUGUCUGUAAGUGUGCUGUGUCCAUAUAUGAUCCAUACUUUUGUCUGAAAACAUAAAAAAAAGAAUAAGAAUAAAGAUAUAGCUGCAGAUUCCAGACUCCAAAGAGAAUAGCUUUGAUAUUGAUAGUGAGGACGUUUUUCUGAUGUUGUCAGGAUGUUUUGCAACAUAUAAGCUGCAUAUAUGGGCAAAGAAAGAGCCACACAACAUGCAUUUCAUUGAAAAAUUGGUUUGUUUCAAAUACUGUCCAGUUAAAGCAUUUUCCCAGAUGACGCUGAAGUAAAUACAGCACCCCCACAGAGCACCAUUGCACCCAGUCAUGGUAAUAAAGCCAGAAAGGCUUGGAUUAUGGUGCUAACCGGUCGGGUCACACAUGUAAUAACAACACCAACAACACUCUGUACCACAAAAUGAGUUUAUAGUGUCAGGAGUUGGGUGGUGCUGCACCUCCAACAAAAAGCCAGAGUCUAAGCCUUAAAUGUGGUGAUGCCAGAACGUUGAAACUCAAAAGAAGGAAAACUGACAAAGUGAAGACAAUUUCAUUCUGUUGUGUUGGUAAAAAUAAAGAACAAUGUGUUUA
Molecule: long non-coding RNA, 1114 nt
Organism: Thalassophryne amazonica
Lineage: Eukaryota; Metazoa; Chordata; Actinopteri; Batrachoidiformes; Batrachoididae
Exons: 2
Source: RefSeq, a predicted model, not a curated record